Molecule: long non-coding RNA, 1484 nt
Organism: Lingula anatina
Lineage: Eukaryota; Metazoa; Brachiopoda; Lingulata; Lingulida; Lingulidae
Source: RefSeq, a predicted model, not a curated record
AUAGGUUUGGUGGCAUUUAGUUAGUACAAUUGUUUUCUAUCCCAAAUUGCAAUAAAUAGAUUAAUUUGAAUUAAAUUCCACUUGCUUCUGAUUUUCAUUUUUUCUCUGUCAGUGAUAUAAAAAGACCUGAGAAUAUUAUAUGUGUCAGAGUUUGCAUUAGAUGAGGACAUGUACUGUGCUGUCUUGCAACUUCUUCAGGAGUAAAUAAUCGGGUGCCAGUUUGUCACCAUUGGCCAUGAAAAACAACUACAUGUAGAUGGCUACACUUGUCGGCUGAGGUGUAUACAUGCAGUGGAGCACCUGUUGGUAUAUGGAUUGGGCAAAACACCAAAGAUCUGCCAGCCAGACUUUUUAAUAGGCUAAAUGUGGCCAUUCUGGUUUUAAGAAAUAUUGAUGCUGCAGAUAAAAAGCACUUCAAAAUAAUACCAUUUGGGCAUAAGAGCAGGUUAAUUUUGUCAUAAUGCAACACUUGUGACAGUUUUUUUUAAUUAUACAAGUGCAAAGGGGAAUCUUAUGUGGCCCAGUGAUUAUAACUGUGACAUGUCUCUAUUUAAAACAAACGAUAAUGGAUCCAGUAUAAUUCUGGAAUGGGCCACUACUACCAAAUCCAGGAAAUAAUGUUACUAUUAUAUACUGCCAAAUACUCACAUCAAAUAUUAUAUAUAAAGAAUAUUGGAUCAAACUUUUGCUUUAACUGUGGGGGUUCCAUUACAUUAAUAUAUUAUUUUUUAAAUUUUUUAUUACUAUUACUAUUUCUAUAAGGUGCAGAUGGGAUGCUGUUGGUAUUUCUUUGAAAAUGGUGUCUGGGUGAUGGACUUGUUAAAGUCAUGUGCACUGGCAUCUGAAUUAAGGGUAUAAUACUGUACUGUAUUUAUGUCCUUCUUUUUAUAUAUAUAUCUGAAUGAAACACUGCAAGUGAAGUAAAUGGGCCAGUCAAUCUUAAGUUAUGCCAGAGCCCUCUAAGUUUAUUUUAUGAAAAAAAUUGAUAUACUGGAAUACAGUUAUUUAAAAUAAAAUUAAAUUUGGAUGGUUCACAACACUUUUUCCACUUCCAACCCAAGGUCUCUAUUACCUGCAGUAAACACACCUUAUGCAGUUUAUCUAAGAGAAAUCAAUAUAUGUGCAACAGUAACUUAAAAUGAUUAACCUACUGAUUGUUGUAAAAUAUUAAUUAAAAGAUGAGGCUCUCCUCUUAUCUUAUUUUAAAUGAUGUACUGUGUAUUAUUAAAGACAAGUGUGAAUGAAUUUUAUUUUAAGAAAAGAUCACAUUAGAUGAUAAAAUGUUGAACAAAUAUUUAUUGAUUUUGUUUAUUUACACGAAAAAGUACUCUAACCAAGAGAACAAAUAAGUUUGGAUUUCCCUCAACUCUUAAGAGAUUAUCAGAGGUUAGUCAUCUGUGAAGGUCACAUGGUUAAGUGGCAAGCACAGAUUCCAGAAUAAUUGCAAGAACCACCAUUUUAGUGGUAAAAUAGAAUUUAUAUUU